GACUCUGUGGUGCAAUGGAUAGCGCAUUGGACUUCUAAUUCAAAGGCUGUGUGUUCAAGUCCCACCAGAGUCA
This 73-nucleotide transfer RNA is filed under the name Nothobranchius furzeri (turquoise killifish). RNAcentral describes it as "tRNA-Arg (TCT) (tRNA-Arg-TCT-4-1)". It matches the Rfam family "tRNA". Rfam says of the family: Transfer RNA (tRNA) molecules are approximately 80 nucleotides in length. Lineage: Eukaryota; Metazoa; Chordata; Actinopteri; Cyprinodontiformes; Nothobranchiidae. The record is from RNAcentral.